GACGAACGCUGGCGGCGUGCCUAAUACAUGCAAGUAGAACGCUGAAGCGAGGAGCUUGCUCUUCUUGGAUGAGUUGCGAACGGGUGAGUAACGCGUAGGUAACCUGCCUUGUAGCGGGGGAUAACUAUUGGAAACGAUAGCUAAUACCGCAUAACAAUGGAUGACACAUGUCCUUUAUUUGAAAGGGGCAAUUGCUCCACUACAAGAUGGACCUGCGUUGUAUUAGCUAGUAGGUGAGGUAACGGCUCACCUAGGCGACGAUACAUAGCCGACCUGAGAGGGUGAGCGGCCACCCUGGGAAUGAGACACGGCCCAGAGUCCUACGGGAGGCAGCAGUAGGGAAUCUUCGGCAAUGGGGGCAACCCUGACCGAGCAACGCCGCGUGAGUGAAGAAGGUUUUCGGAUCGUAAAGCUCUGUUGUAAGUCAAGAACGAGUGUGAGAGUGGAAAGUUCACACUGUGACGGUAGCUUACCAGAAAGGGACGGCUAACUACGUG
This 497-nucleotide ribosomal RNA is filed under the name uncultured bacterium. RNAcentral's name for it is "partial 16S ribosomal RNA". It matches the Rfam family "Bacterial small subunit ribosomal RNA", at positions 28 to 507 of the family's 1533-position model. The record is from RNAcentral.